AUAUGAUAGGUGGUGCAUGGCCGUUCUUAGUUCGUGGAGUGAUCUGUCUGCUUAAUUGCGUUUCAAAUUUUUAACCGAGACCGGGUUUUGGUUUGGCUAGUGGUCCUACGAUGACUGUGAACUGUCAUGUCUUCGGAUGUACGACUAUCGGUCUAGGAUCACAUGACUUGCCCCUGGGACUCUUUUGAACGCAACGGACGUGAUUGCAACCCCUUGUUGAGAUUAGAGAUAGUCUCGAUAUUCACUGGCCAAACUGGCUGCUUUAUGCAGUCUUGUUGAAUGG
RNAcentral lists this ribosomal RNA (283 nucleotides) under Globigerinoides ruber albus. RNAcentral describes it as "partial small subunit ribosomal RNA". The record is from RNAcentral. Lineage: Eukaryota; Foraminifera; Rotaliida; Globigerinidae.